This 2493-nucleotide small RNA is filed under the name Arabidopsis thaliana (thale cress). Its description in RNAcentral is "ATSL192800". Lineage: Eukaryota; Viridiplantae; Streptophyta; Magnoliopsida; Brassicales; Brassicaceae. The record is from RNAcentral.
UUUUUGUUAUUGCACCUAGAAGAAAACCAAUUAAUAGCAGCAACUGGUCUAUUGUAGAUGUUAAGAGGAAACGAAAUGCACCGGGUCCGAGCCCUAAAGAACCUGCUAUGAAAAAACAGAAAUCUGAAAUGGACUGUGAUAAUGAAGAAAAUGUUGAGGAUUGUUUUGGAGAGCCUGUGCCUAAGAGGUUUAUUUUUGAAAUGAGGAGGUCUUUCAAGGAGCUGGAAGACCAAAUGUAUCAAAUGCAAGAAGAUAUGAGACUUUGUCCGUGAGCAGAUACGUGCUGCCCUUGAUCCAAAAGGCAAAAGGCCAGAACAAACCAUACCUUCCCAUGAUUCGCGGAAACCACCUACUUCUAUGGAUAAGGCACCGGUUACUGCGAAGAAGCCAUCGAGAAGGAUGUCUACAAAAGGAAGCACGGGAACGAGAAAGUCUUCAAGGCUGACUCGCGUUUCUCAUGAUGUGGACACUCCAGCGCUUUCUGUUGGCUGUAAUUCCAAAGAGGAAGAUUUGGAUGUCCCUGGUGUACAUACCACUACUGUCGGCGGAAGAAGAAAACCUUCAAAGCCGAAGAAAAAUGUUUCUUUUGUUGUUGACACUACUGAGCUAUCUGAUUCCAAUAAGGAAGAUAUGCAAGGAUUCAUUGAUGAACAGGUAAGUCAUGUACGUACAUUGCUAAAUAUUUUAUAAUCCAUAUAUUAUAACUGUACUGUCUGCUUCGAUACAGUAUGGCGGUAAUAAUAAAAGUGAUUUUACUGCAAAUGAUGGAUUGAAUUCUUCGGCCGCUGAAGAAGAGAUAUUAGACACUGGAUUUUUAAUAGUUCCUUAUGCUGGAUCCACACAAUCCCAUCUGGUAUGUCGUCUACUAAUACUCUUAACAAUCUGUUUAAAUGGUGUACGUACAUAUUCGCUUAAGAAGUUAGUUAAACUAUGUUUCAGGAUAGAGGAAACGUUGUUGUUGGUAAGACUGUCUUUUUAGGUUCAAUGUCUGGGACUGUCUAUGUUACAUAGGAAGGGAGGCAUGUGGAAGAAGCUACUGUUGACACCGAGAUGGAAGAAGUUCCAUCUAAUGUGUCUGCAAGAGUUUCAAAGGUAGAUCUUGUGGUAUUCGUUACAUACAGAUUUCCAUGACUAUAUGCAUAGAUAUUACAUUAAUUUCUCCACUUAUCUACCGCUUAACUCUAUGGUAGCCUAUGUUUCAGGAUAAUGGACCAAAGGAUGUUGUUGAACCUGGCUUAGUUGGUACCCAUACAGGGGCCGAUGAAAUAGCUGAUGCUGACAAAGAGAUGGUAGACAAUCCAUCAGGUUUACCUUCAACAUCUGCACAGGUAUGUGUUAGUCACUUGUUCUUUUUCCAUAUGUGUACGCCCAUAAGACUUUGAAAAUUAUUUUUGUUUCAGAAAGAAGCAAGAGAUGCCAGUGCUGCGACUGAAGCUAAUGGCAGCGAGUCAGAAGAAACUUAUGAGCCUUCUGAUGGAGAUACAGCUCACAUACCUGGCACAAGUGUACGUACAUUUUUGUCACUAUGUUCUGUGUACAUAUAUAUUGUUUCAUACAUUACUAAAAAGUUGCUUUCCGAUGAUAAAUUCUACAGGUUGAGGCGGCAGGAGAAUCCAAAUUAGUGACAGGGAUGGAAGUUGAAAUACCUGAGAAGACCCACAGUGAUCCCCCGUCACCAUUUCAAGUAGUUAACAAUGUAAGCUAACUCUUGCAACAAAUAAAAUGUACUAUUUACUGUUCAAAUGUAUAAAAUUUAUAUUAUGCAGGUCAUACGGGAGUUGGAUACCAAAGCCGUUGGUGAUUUGGCUGCAGCUACUAAUGUGGAGGUAACAAUUUGUGUGUUUCAAUUCCUAUUCUCGGAAUAGCAUACAUAGGAUUAUAUGUGUACAUUAUAUAGACUUGUGUACGUUAACUUGCACAGGUAGUCAUGGAAGAGCCGGGUAUUGUCGAGGGGUCUGUAAGAACUGAGGAUCCUAACCCAGGGUCAGAUGAAGCAGACAAGACCGAUAUUCAUAAAAAUAAUGUAUGUACCUGGGAAAACGGUUUAUUUCCCCAUGAGAACUAUCAUAUCACGCCAGAUAGAGCCCGAUCUUUAGCCUCUGUCUGUAUACCCACAAAACUGAAGUUAAAUGCCUAAUUCCCCACGAAAUCAAAGUUCGAGAGCUAGUUGUCCCCGAUUCAAAAUUUCGUCAUCUUAAACCCCAUGUCGAUGGGUUUAAUCGGUUUACUGUUUUCCAAUCAGAUAAGUUAACCCGCUAAACCUAUCUUUAACCAAUUAAACCAAAAUUUCUACCCGAUUUACGACCCAUUACUCUUACAACCAAACCCCCCCCCCCCCCAAAUCGAAACCCUAAAGUCUAAAAUCCCCAAUUCUAAGAACCCUAGAGAGAACUUUUUUCAAUCGUCGUCUUCAAGCUUCAAUGUCGUUGGUCAUGCGUGACCCUGAUUUUGUUGGUGAUGUUGAUCCUGAAGCUGAAGAUAGGGAUCAAUUUC